RNAcentral lists this ribosomal RNA (495 nucleotides) under uncultured bacterium. RNAcentral's name for it is "partial 16S ribosomal RNA". It matches the Rfam family "Bacterial small subunit ribosomal RNA", at positions 28 to 507 of the family's 1533-position model. The record is from RNAcentral.
GACGAACGCUGGCGGCGUGCCUAAUACAUGCAAGUAGAACGCUGAAGGAGGAGCUUGCUUCUCUGGAUGAGUUGCGAACGGGUGAGUAACGCGUAGGUAACCUGCCUGGUAGCGGGGGAUAACUAUUGGAAACGAUAGCUAAUACCGCAUAAUAGUAGAUGUUGCAUGACAUUUGCUUAAAAGGUGCAAUUGCAUCACUACCAGAUGGACCUGCGGUGUAUUAGCUAGUUGGUGGGGUAACGGCUCACCAAGGCGACGAUACAUAGCCGACCUGAGAGGGUGAGCAGCCAGACUGGGAGUGAGACACGGCCCAGACUCCUUCGGGAGGCAGCAGUAGGGAAUCGUCGGCAAGAGACGGAAGUCUGAGCGAGCAACGCCGCGGGAGGGAAGAAGGUUUUCGGAUCGGAAAGCUCGGUUGUAAGGGAAGAACGAGUGUGAGAGUGGAAAGUUCACACUGUGACGGUAUCUUACCAGAAAGGGACGGCUAACUACGUG